UGGGGAAUUUUGGACAAUGGGCGAAAGCCUGAUCCAGCAAUGCCGCGUGUGUGAAGAAGGCCUUCGGGUUGUAAAGCACUUUUGUCCGGAAAGAAAACGCCGUGGUUAAUACCCGUGGCGGAUGACGGUACCGGAAGAAUAAGCACCGGCUAACUACGUGCCAGCAGCCGCGAUAAUACGUAGGGUGCAAGCGUUAAUCGGAAUUACUGGGCGUAAAGCGUGCGCAGGCGGUCCGCUAAGACAGAUGUGAAAUCCCCGGGCUUAACCUGGGAACUGCAUUUGUGACUGGCGGGCUAGAGUAUGGCAGAGGGGGGUAGAAUUCCACGUGUAGCAGUGAAAUGCGUAGAGAUGUGGAGGAAUACCGAUGGCGAAGGCAGCCCCCUGGGCCAAUACUGACGCUCAUGCACGAAAGCGUGGGGAGCAAACAGG
Molecule: ribosomal RNA, 429 nt
Filed under: Bacillota bacterium
Lineage: Bacteria; Bacillati; Bacillota
Description: Firmicutes bacterium partial 16S ribosomal RNA
Rfam family: Bacterial small subunit ribosomal RNA
Source: RNAcentral